RNAcentral lists this ribosomal RNA (430 nucleotides) under Bacteroidota bacterium. RNAcentral describes it as "Bacteroidetes bacterium partial 16S ribosomal RNA". It matches the Rfam family "Bacterial small subunit ribosomal RNA", at positions 355 to 776 of the family's 1533-position model. Lineage: Bacteria; Pseudomonadati; Bacteroidota. The record is from RNAcentral.
UGGGGAAUCUUCCGCAAUGGACGAAAGUCUGACGGAGCAACGCCGCGUGAGUGAAGACGGCCUUCGGGUUGUAAAGCUCUGUGAUCCGGGACGAAAGAGCCUGAGGUAAAUAGCCUAAGGAAGUGACGGUACCGGAAAAGCAAGCCACGGCUAACUACGUGCCAGCAGCCGCGGUAAUACGUAGGUGGCAAGCGUUAUCCGGAAUUAUUGGGCGUAAAGCGCGCGUAGGCGGUUUUUUAAGUCUGAUGUGAAAGCCCACGGCUCAACCGUGGAGGGUCAUGGGAAACUGGAAAACUUGAGUGCAGAAGAGGAAAGUGGAAUUCAAUGGGUAGCGGUGAAAUGCGCAGAGAUAUGGAGGAACACCAGGGGCGAAGGCGACUCUCUGGUCUGUAACUGACGCCGAGGCUCGAAAGCGUGGGUAGCAAACAGG